Molecule: ribosomal RNA, 484 nt
Filed under: uncultured bacterium
Lineage: Bacteria
Description: partial 16S ribosomal RNA
Rfam family: Bacterial small subunit ribosomal RNA
Source: RNAcentral
GUCGAACGCUGGCGGCGCGCUUAACACAUGCAAGUCGAACGAUGAAGCCAGAGCUUGCUCUGGUGAAUUAGUGGCGAACGGGUGAGUAACACGUGAGUAACCUGCCCUUGACUCUGGGAUAACUGCUAGAAAUGGUAGCUAAUACCGGAUACGACCCUCGGAGGCAUCUUCAGGGGGUGGAAAGAAUUUCGGUCAAGGAUGGACUCGCGGCCUAUCAGCUAGUUGGUGAGGUAAUGGCUCACCAAGGCGACGACGGGUAGCCGGCCUGGGAGGGUGACCGGCCACACUGGGACUGAGACACGGCCCAGACUCCUACGGGAGGCAGCAGUGGGGAAUAUUGCACAAUGGGCGCAAGCCUGAUGCAGCAACGCCGCGUGAGGGAUGACGGCCUUCGGGUUGUAAACCUCUUUUAGUAGGGAAGAAGCGAAAGUGACGGUACCUGCAGAAAAAGCACCGGCUAACUACGUGCCAGCCGCCGCCGUAA